RNAcentral lists this non-coding RNA (402 nucleotides) under Pongo abelii (Sumatran orangutan). Lineage: Eukaryota; Metazoa; Chordata; Mammalia; Primates; Hominidae. The record is from RNAcentral.
UCUCUGAGUCUCAGUUUCCCCAUCUUCUGAAAGGGGCCUGGCAUAUCCUGGGCAGGCAGAUGGUGCAUCAGAGGCAGUGAGGUGCCCACAAGGAAGUGCUCCCCACAGGUGGCUUGGAGGAAAUCCUCCUUCCUCAGCACUCAUGGAGGCCCCCUGUGGGCCAGGCACUGUUUUAGGCCUUCUGGGUGAGGACCAAGCAGUGACCACAGCUGACAAAACCCCUACCCUUGUGGAAGGAACAUUCUACUGAGGCCCUGGACGUACAAUACCCAAUCCCCCACCUCCCAGCUACCAGAAUGACAGAAGCUCCCCAAUGGAGAUUCCCGGCAUGCCCAGCCCCACGUCUGGGUUGAGAGUAGUGACUCAGCAGAAAACGAAGGCUACUGCUAGCAACCAAAUGAG